UACGUAGGGGGCAAGCGUUAUCCGGAUUUACUGGGUGUAAAGGGUGCGUAGGUGGCUAUGCAAGUUUGAUGUGAAACCUUAAGGCUUAACCUUAAGCAUGCAUCAAAAACUGCAAAGCUAGAGUGCAGGAGAGGAAAGUGGAAUUCCUAGUGUAGCGGUGAAAUGCGUAGAUAUUAGGAGGAACACCAGUAGCGAAGGCGGCUUUCUGGACUGUAACUGACACUGAGGCACGAAAGCGUGGGGAGCAAACAGG
RNAcentral lists this ribosomal RNA (253 nucleotides) under uncultured bacterium. RNAcentral's name for it is "partial 16S ribosomal RNA". It matches the Rfam family "Bacterial small subunit ribosomal RNA", at positions 524 to 776 of the family's 1533-position model. The record is from RNAcentral.